Non-coding RNA from Lactuca sativa (garden lettuce), 1301 nucleotides. NCBI's taxonomy places the organism in Eukaryota, Viridiplantae, Streptophyta, Magnoliopsida, Asterales, Asteraceae. The record is from RefSeq and is a predicted model, not a curated record.
UACAUACCUGACCAUAGGUACUGUUCGUUGGUUAUUUUAACGCGACCAUGGUGACCGCCUCCACCACUUACUUCCUAUGUACGAUCCAUCUUCUCUCUUCUAAUCUCACUCUACCCGUUACCAUCUCUAAACACCCACCUUUGUCAAUCUCUUGCUUACUCUUUUAUUCUCCUAGCAAAUCAAUGAUGGAUGAAGGAACCCCUUACUUUCUACGGCUUUCUCGAUGCUUCUAUCUUCAAAUGUCUCCACCGGCUCAUUCACAGUCACUACCGUCUCGCUCCUUCGACUUCCAACUGCGAUGCCCCUCGAGACAACUUCUUAAAAAACAACGACUUUUAGAGAUGAAACCCGUCGUCUGCCUCUAUGAGUUGAAGGAACCUGGGAUGGAAGCAAGGUUUUAGUUUGGAUUUAAAAUCAAGUUACAAUUCAAUUUUGGAAUUCAAUCUUCUUCUGCUCUAUCCCCAAUACAGAAAAAAAAAAGAAGAAGGCAGAUGCCGAUGGUGAUAGUGACGGUGCCGACCACUGGAAAGUGCAGCAGGGGCGUCCAUCCGGUGGCUAUUAGAGGUAUCCGGGGACUGAGUUGUUAAACGAAGUUGAUAUAAUCGAUUCCUCUUUACAAGAUGCAUCUCCAACGUUACCUGGGUGCAUCAAAGUCAUGGAGAAACAAAGAAAAUGCUGAAACCGGGUGUACAACCGUUACAGAGCCAAGAUGACUAUGAAAGUGAAAAACAUACAAUACUUAAGAUUAGUAAUGAAGCAUUGGUUACAAGCGGGUUUGGUGCGGCAACAGUCACAUCAGCUAUUUAACAUUGCUUAUUCAGAAGAACUUGAUAAAUGAUGAAACUAACGAUUAAGUGGAAGAGAGUUGAGCUUCAACAUGCUGAAGGGUCUAAUACCUAAUUAAAUUUUGUGUUGAAUGAUAGUGGCAGCUGAGUGAAGUAUAUUUGAAGGAGAUAGAGAAAAAGAUAAAUGAGUUGGCUUCAGAUGUUAUGGUGUUUGUAGAUGAAAGGCCUGCUGCUUCAAGAACCCAACUGUUGGAGAAUAUGUUUGUUGAUCCAACAGGUGUUGUAAUUGCACAUGAUGACAAUUACAUUUACAUGUGUGAGGACCCCAAGUUUACACAAAGAAACUGUUGUAAUUCAUUUCAAAUUAUUACUAUUUAAACAAGGGCAACUGUAAUAAAGGGUUAACUGCUUACUAAACAAAAAAAAAGCAGCCCCUCUGUUCCACGCGGAGCGUGGGCAUACCUGCUAGUUUUAUUAUUAUUAUUUUUUUGACAUAUGAUCAUUUUAUACAUUUAA